RNAcentral lists this transfer RNA (68 nucleotides) under Marmota monax (woodchuck). Its description in RNAcentral is "tRNA.Ala". Lineage: Eukaryota; Metazoa; Chordata; Mammalia; Rodentia; Sciuridae. The record is from RNAcentral.
GGAUUGUAGCUCAGCGGUAGAGGGCCCUCCUAGCACAUGAGAGGCCCUGGGUUCAAUUCUCAGCACCA